UACAGGGGGUGCAAACGUUGCUCGGAAUCAUUGGGCGUAAAGCGCACGUAGGCGGUUCGUUAUGUCGGAUGUGAAAGCCCUUGGCUUAACCGAGGAAGUGCAUCCGAAACUGGCGAGCUAGAGUACGAAAGAGGAUCGCGGAAUUCCCGGUGUAGAGGUGAAAUUCGUAGAUAUCGGGAGGAACACCGGUGGCGAAGGCGGCGAUCUGGGUCGAUACCGACGCUGAGGUGCGAAAGCGUGGGGAGCGAACAGG
RNAcentral lists this ribosomal RNA (253 nucleotides) under uncultured bacterium. RNAcentral describes it as "partial 16S ribosomal RNA". It matches the Rfam family "Bacterial small subunit ribosomal RNA", at positions 524 to 776 of the family's 1533-position model. The record is from RNAcentral.